This 467-nucleotide ribosomal RNA is filed under the name uncultured bacterium. RNAcentral's name for it is "partial 16S ribosomal RNA". It matches the Rfam family "Bacterial small subunit ribosomal RNA", at positions 28 to 507 of the family's 1533-position model. The record is from RNAcentral.
GACGAACGCUGGCGGCGUGCUUAACACAUGCAAGUCGAACGGAAAGGCUCCAGCUUGCUGGAGUACUCAAGUGGCGAACGGGUGAGUAACACGUGGGUAAUCUGCCCUGCACUCUGGGAUAAGCCUGGGAAACUGGGUCUAAUACUGGAUAUGACCUUUCUCCUUAUGGGGUUUGGUGGAAAGUUUUUCGGUGUAGGAUGAGCCCGCGGCCUAUCAGCUUGUUGGUGGGGUGAUGGCCUACCAAGGCGACGACGGGUAGCCGGCCUGAGAGGGUGAUCGGCCACAUUGGGACUGAGAUACGGCCCAGACUCCUACGGGAGGCAGCAGUGGGGAAUAUUGCACAAUGGGCGGAAGCCUGAUGCAGCGACGCCGCGUGAGGGAUGACGGCCUUCGGGUUGUAAACCUCUUUCAGCAGGGACGAAGCGUAAGUGACGGUACCUGCAGAAGAAGCACCGGCUAACUAUGUG